Molecule: ribosomal RNA, 439 nt
Filed under: uncultured bacterium
Lineage: Bacteria
Description: partial 16S ribosomal RNA
Rfam family: Bacterial small subunit ribosomal RNA
Source: RNAcentral
CUACGGGUGGCAGCAGUAGGGAAUAUUGCACAAUGGACGAAAGUCUGAUGCAGCGACGCCGCGUGAGGGAUGAAGGCCUUCGGGUUGUAAACCUCGAUCUACCGGGAUGAACAAUGACGUUACCGGAAGAGAAGUGCCGGCUAACUCCGUGCCAGCAGCUGCGGUAAUACGGAGAGCACGAGCGUUACCCGGAAUUACUGGACGUAGAGGGCGUGUAGGCGGCCAGGUGACCCACGUGUGAAAAGCUCCGGCUUACCCGGAGCCCUGCGCGUGGAAAUGUCUGGCUCGAGGGUGCUAGAGGUGAGCGGAAUUCCAGGAGUAGCGGUGAAAUGCGUUGAUAUCUGGAGGAACGCCAAAGGCGAAGGCAGCUCACUGGGGCACUCCUGACGCUGAGGCGCGAAAGCCAGGGUAGCAAACGGGAUUAGAUACCCGGGUAGUC